GGGGAGUACGGCCGCAAGGUUAAAACUCAAAUGAAUUGACGGGGGCCCGCACAAGCGGUGGAGCAUGUGGUUUAAUUCGAUGCAACGCGAAGAACCUUACCUGGUCUUGACAUCCACRGAASUUUYCAGAGAUGRGAWUGUGCCUUCGGGAACYGUGAGACAGGUGCUGCAUGGCUGUCGUCAGCUCGUGUUGUGAAAUGUUGGGUUAAGUCCCGCAACGAGCGCAACCCUUAUCCUUUGUUGCCAGCGRUUAGGYCGGGAACUCAAAGGAGACUGCCAGUGAUAAACUGGAGGAAGGUGGGGAUGACGUCAAGUCAUCAUGGCCCUUACGACCAGGGCUACACACGUGCUACAAUGGCGCAUACAAAGAGAAGCGACCUCGCGAGAGCAAGCGGACCUCAUAAAGUGCGUCGUAGUCCGGAUUGGAGUCUGCAACUCGACUCCAUGAAGUCGGAAUCGCUAGUAAUCGUGGAUCAGAAUGCCACGGUGAAUACGUUCCCGGGCC
This 505-nucleotide ribosomal RNA is filed under the name Salmonella enterica. RNAcentral's name for it is "bacterial SSU rRNA". Lineage: Bacteria; Pseudomonadati; Pseudomonadota; Gammaproteobacteria; Enterobacterales; Enterobacteriaceae. The record is from RNAcentral.